GAUGAAGAACGCAGCGAAAUGCGUUAAGUAAUGUGAAUUGCAGAAUUCAGUGAAUCAUCGAAUCUUUGAACGCACAUUGCGCCCUCUGGUAUUCCGGGGGGCAUGCCUGUUCGAGCGUCAUUAUAACCACUCAAGCUCUCGCUUGGUAUUGGGGCUCGCGGUUCCGCGGCCCCUAAAAUCAGUGGCGGUGCCUGUCGGCUCUACGCGUAGUAAUACUCCUCGCGAUUGAGUCCGGUAGGUCUACUUGCCAGCAACCCCCAAUUUUUACAGGUUGACCUCGGAUCAGGUAGGGAUACCCGCUGAACUUAAGCAUAUCAAUAAGCGGAGGA
Molecule: unclassified non-coding RNA, 329 nt
Filed under: soil metagenome
Description: partial contains 5.8S ribosomal RNA, internal transcribed spacer 2, and large subunit ribosomal RNA
Rfam family: 5.8S ribosomal RNA (bases 1-120)
Source: RNAcentral